UUAGAGUUUGAUCCUGGCUCAGAACGAACGCUGGCGGCAUGCCUAACACAUGCAAGUCGAACGCGUGUAGCAAUACACGAGUGGCGCACGGGUGAGUAACGCGUGGGAACCUGCCCUGGAGUGUGGGAUAACCCGGCGAAAGCCGGGCUAAUACCGCAUACGACCUGAGGGUGAAAGAUUUAUCGCUCUAGGAGGGGCCCGCGUCGGAUUAGCUAGUUGGUGAGGUAACGGCUCACCAAGGCGAUGAUCCGUAGCUGGUCUGAGAGGAUGAUCAGCCACACUGGGACUGAGACACGGCCCAGACUCCUACGGGAGGCAGCAGUGGGGAAUAUUGGACAAUGGGGGCAACCCUGAUCCAGCAAUGCCGCGUGGGCGAUGAAGGCCUUCGGGUUGUAAAGCCCUUUUGCACGCGACGAUGAUGACGGUAGCGUGAGAAGAAGCCCCGGCUAACUUCGUGCCAGCAGCCGCGGUA
This 472-nucleotide ribosomal RNA is filed under the name uncultured bacterium. RNAcentral's name for it is "bacterial SSU rRNA". It matches the Rfam family "Bacterial small subunit ribosomal RNA", at positions 1 to 522 of the family's 1533-position model. The record is from RNAcentral.